GAGAAGCCCUUCGGGGUGAGUAGAGUGGCGAACGGGUGAGUAACACGUGGGCAACCUGCCCCUCGCAGGGGGAUAACCGGAGGAAACUCCGGCUAAUACCCCGUAAGCUUUCAGAGUCGCAUGGCUCUGUAUGGAAGGGUAGCUUCGGCCAUCCGGCGAGGGAUGGGCCCGCGGUGCAUUAGCUAGUUGGUGGGGCAAUGGCCCACCAAGGCGACGAUGCGUAGCUGGUCUGAGAGGAUGAUCAGCCACACUGGGACUGAGACACGGCCCAGACUCCUACGGGAGGCAGCAGCCAGGAAUCUUGGGCAAUGGGCGCAAGCCUGACCCAGCAACACCGUGUGGGCGAUGAAGGCCUUCGGGUCGUAAAGCCCUGUUGAUAGGGACGAAGGGCGAAGGGUUAAUAGCCCCUAGCCUGACGGUACCUUUCGAGGAAGCCCCGGCUAACUACGUGCCAGCAGCCGCGGUAAUACGUAGGGGGCGAGCGUUG
RNAcentral lists this ribosomal RNA (487 nucleotides) under uncultured bacterium. RNAcentral describes it as "bacterial SSU rRNA". It matches the Rfam family "Bacterial small subunit ribosomal RNA", at positions 70 to 543 of the family's 1533-position model. The record is from RNAcentral.